UGCACUGUGACCUGCACACCCAGGUGGGC
RNAcentral lists this non-coding RNA (29 nucleotides) under Macaca fascicularis (crab-eating macaque). RNAcentral also lists the same sequence under 1 other name. Lineage: Eukaryota; Metazoa; Chordata; Mammalia; Primates; Cercopithecidae. The record is from RNAcentral.